AGUUAAGAUAGUAAGAGCAUACGGCGGAUGCCUUGGCGAUAUCUGCCGACGAAGGACGCGACAAGCUGCGAUAAGUCACGGGGAGGUGCAAAUGACCUUUGAUCCGUGAAUUUCCGAAUGGAGCAAUCCGGCUGUGGUAAUGCACAGUCACCCAUGCCAAAGAGUAUGGGAGGGAACCGGGCGAACUGAAACAUCUAAGUAGCCCGAGGAGAAGAAAUCAAACGAGAUACCCCAAGUAGCGGCGAGCGAACGGGGCAGAAGCCCAAACCGGAGAAGGAAACUUUUCCGGGGUUGAGGACCGUCAGACGAUAAGGAAGCCCAGCCGAAUCCCCUGGGAAGGGGAGCCGGAGAAUGUGAAAGCCAUGUAGGCGAAGGGCGGAUAAGGACAGACGGCACCAGAGUACCGCGGGACACGAGAAACCCCGUGGGAAGCCGGGGGGACCACCCUCCAAGGCAAAACACAGAUAUCGACCGAUAGCGCAUAGUACCAUGAGGGAAAGGUGAAAAGCACCCCGGGAGGGGAAUGAAACAGAACCUGAAACCGUAUGUUUACAAGCAGUCGGAGACCGUAUAUAUACCAGGUCGACGGCGUGCCUAUUGAAGAAUGAACCGGCGAGUUAUGAGGUCCAGCAAGGUUAAGCAGGAAAUGCGGAGCCGAAGCGAAAGCGAGUCUUAAUAGGGCGAUAAGUUGGAUUGCAUAGACCCGAAACCACAGUGAUCUACCCAUGUCCAGGCUGAAACACAGGUAAAAAUGUGCGGAGGGCCGAACCUAUAUCCGUUGAAAAGGGUUAGGAUGAGGUGUGGGUAGGGGUGAAAUUCCAAUCGAACGUGGAGAUAGCUGGUUCUCCCCGAAAUAGCUUUAGGGCUAGCCUCGAGGUAGAGAUUGCAGGCGGUAGAGCACUGAUCAGGAGAGGGACCUACCCGGUUACCAAACCCAGUCAAACUGCGAAUGGCUGCAAUUAUACUCGGGAGUCAGACUACGACUUAUAAGGGCCGUGGUCAAAAGGGAAACAGCCCAGAUCAUCAGCUAAGGUCCCAAAUGCCGUGCUAAGUGGCGAAGGAUGUGGCGUUUCAUAAACAACCAGGAUGUUGGCUCAGAAGCAGCCACCAUUUAAAGAGUGCGUAAUAGCUCACUGGUCGAGAGACGCUGCGCCGAAAAUGUCCGGGGCUCAAGCACGGAACCGAAGCUAUGGCAUGACAGCAAUGUCAUGGGUAGGGGAGCGUUCUUAUAAGGAAGAAGCAUUACCGUAAGGAGAUGUGGACAUAUAAGAAGUGAGAAUGCCGGUAUGAGUAUCGAAAAGAAAGGUGAGAAUCCUUUCCACCGAAAGCCCGAGGGUUCCUGAGCAACGAUCGUCGACUCAGGGUAAGUCGGGACCUAAGCCGAGGCGGAGACGCAUAGGCGAUGGACAACAGGUUGAAAUUCCUGUACCGGAUGGAGUCAAUUGAGCAAAGGAGCGACGCAGGAGGGCACAUGAUCGCGCGGCUGGAAGAGCGCGUCCAAGUGCGUAUGCGUAGAGGGAGGCAAAUCCCCCUUUACAGAAGCAGAGACAUGAUGGGGAGUUAAAGGAGACUUUGACGAACUCAUGGAUCCCACACUGCCAAGAAAAACUUCUAGCGAGACGAAAUCCGCCCGUACCGUAAACCGACACAGGUAGGCGGGGAGAGAAUCCUAAGGUGCGCGGGAAAACCCUCGUUAAGGAACUCGGCAAAUUGCAUCCGUAACUUCGGGAGAAGGAUGACCCUGAGUAGGCGAAAGGGAGAAACCCCCGGAACAGAAAAGGGUGGCAGAAAAGAGGCCCAAGCAACUGUUUACCAAAAACACAGGUGCCUGCGAAAGCGAAAGCUGAAGUAUAGGUGCUGACGCCUGCCCGGUGCUGGAAGGUUAAGGAGAGAGGUCAGCGAAAGCGAAGCUUUGAACUGAAGCCCCAGUGAACGGCGGCCGUAACUAUAACGGUCCUAAGGUAGCGAAAUUCCUUGUCGGGUAAGUUCCGACCCGCAUGAAAGGCGUAAUGAUUUGGGCACUGUCUCAACGAGGGGCCCGGUGAAAUUGAAAUACCUGUGAAGAUGCAGGUUACCCGCGACUGGACAGAAAGACCCCAUGGAGCUUCACUGCAGCUUGAGAUUGAAUCCCGGUGACAUAUGCACAGGAUAGGUGGGAGGCUAAGAAGUAAUGCCUUUGGGUGUUACAGAGCCGAUGUUGGGAUACCACCCUUAUGUUGCUGAGAUUCUAACACGGAGACUAACAACCUCGUGGACCAUCUCAGGCAGGCGGUUUGACUGGGGCGGUCGCCUCCUAAAAUGUAACGGAGGCGCCCAAAGGUUCCCUCAGGCCGGACAGAAACCGGCCGAAGAGUGCAAAGGCAGAAGGGAGCUUGACUGCGAGACAGACAAGUCGAGCAGAGACGAAAGUCGGGCUUAGUGAUCCGGUGGUACUGAGUGGAAAGGCCAUCGCUCAACGGAUAAAAGCUACCCUGGGGAUAACAGGCUAAUCUCUCCCAAGAGUUCAUAUCGACGGGGAGGUUUGGCACCUCGAUGUCGGCUCAUCACAUCCUGGAGCUGGAGUAGGUUCCAAGGGUUGGGCUGUUCGCCCAUUAAAGUGGUACGCGAGCUGGGUUCAAAACGUCGUGAGACAGUUUGGUUCAUAUCCAUCGCGGGCGCAAGAAGUUUGAGGGAGGCUGCUCCUAGUACGAGAGGACCGGAGUGGACGGAUCAACGGUGUACCAGUUGUCACGCCAGUGGCACGGCUGGAAAGCCGCAUCCGGAAAGGAUAAACGCUGAAAGCAUCUAAGCGUGAAGCCCGUCCCGAGAUGAGACUUCUCAUCAGCAAUGAGUAAGACCCCUUAAAGACGAUGAGGUUGAUAGGCUGUGAGUGGAAGUGGCGCAAGUCAUGGAGCGACGCAGUACUAAUAGGUCGAGGUCUUAGCUUA
Molecule: ribosomal RNA, 2927 nt
Organism: Dialister succinatiphilus YIT 11850
Lineage: Bacteria; Bacillati; Bacillota; Negativicutes; Veillonellales; Veillonellaceae
Rfam family: Bacterial large subunit ribosomal RNA
Source: Rfam